This 21-nucleotide microRNA is filed under the name Chrysemys picta (Painted turtle). RNAcentral describes it as "cpi-miR-19b-2-5p". Its record names the gene cpi-miR-19b-2-5p. Lineage: Eukaryota; Metazoa; Chordata; Testudines; Emydidae. The record is from miRBase by way of RNAcentral.
AGUUUUGCAGGAUUGCAUUCC